CGGAGAGUUUGAUCCUGGCUCAGAUUGAACGCUGGCGGCAUGCCUUACACAUGCAAGUCGAACGGCAGCACGGAGCUUGCUCUGGUGGCGAGUGGCGAACGGGUGAGUAAUAUAUCGGAACGUACCCUGGAGUGGGGGAUAACGUAGCGAAAGUUACGCUAAUACCGCAUACGAUCUACGGAUGAAAGUGGGGGAUCGCAAGACCUCAUGCUCGUGGAGCGGCCGAUAUCUGAUUAGCUAGUUGGUAGGGUAAAAGCCUACCAAGGCAUCGAUCAGUAGCUGGUCUGAGAGGACGACCAGCCACACUGGAACUGAGACACGGUCCAGACUCCUACGGGAGGCAGCAGUGGGGAAUUUUGGACAAUGGGCGAAAGCCUGAUCCAGCAAUGCCGCGUGAGUGAAGAAGGCCUUCGGGUUGUAAAGCUCUUUUGUCAGGGAAGAAACGGUGAGGGCUAAUAUCCCUUGCUAAUGACGGUACCUGAAGAAUAAGCACCGGCUAACUACGUGCCAGCAGCCGCGGUAAUACGUAGGGUGCAAGCGUUAAUCGGAAUUACUGGGCGUAAAGCGUGCGCAGGCGGUUUUGUAAGUCUGAUGUGAAAUCCCCGGGCUCAACCUGGGAAUUGCAUUGGAGACUGCAAGGCU
Molecule: ribosomal RNA, 642 nt
Filed under: uncultured bacterium
Lineage: Bacteria
Description: bacterial SSU rRNA
Rfam family: Bacterial small subunit ribosomal RNA
Source: RNAcentral